AGGUGAACCUGCGGAAGGAUCAUUACAGUAAAUUUGGGGGGGUUGGAUGCUGGCCCGUAAGGGCAUGUGCGCACCCUUUCUAAUAAUCCCUUAACACACACACCUAGUGCACCUGUGGCGAGUGCCUCCCGUUUGGAGCCGUCCGACCGUAAAGCCUCUCCUUAUAAUGAGGUUGGGUCGGGCUGAGGCACUCCCUCCUUUACACAACACCGAUAGAAACCGCAUGUCUGUUUGAGCAUUUAUAUGUCAUACAACUUUCAACAACGGAUCUCUUGGCUUUCGCAUCGAUGAAGAACGCCGCGAAAGUGCGAAACGUAAUGUGAAUUGCAGAAUUCAGUGAAUCAUCGAAUCUUUGAACGCAUCUUGCGCUCCUUGGUAUUCCGAGGAGCAUGCCUGUUUGAGUGUCGUGAACUCCCCUCGACUUCUCUUUUGAAGUUGGAUUUGGAUGUUGCGGGUCUGUGGCCCGCUCGUCUUCAAAUGCAUCAGCUUGGCCCCCUUGGAGUCGGUUCGAUGACGGUGUGAUAACAAAUGCUUGUGGCGCCGUUUGGAUCGACUUUGGGGGUUGCUUAUAGCCCUGGGUCUCUGACCCCAAUACAUGUCGUCUGACCUCAAAUCAGGUAGGAUUACCCGCCGAACUUAAGCAUAUCAAUAAGCGGAGGAAAAGAAACUAACGAGGGAUUCCCCUAGUAACGGCGAGUGAAGCGGGAAGAGCUCAAAUUUGUAAUCU
This 727-nucleotide ribosomal RNA is filed under the name Ramaria sp. RNAcentral's name for it is "eukaryotic LSU rRNA". The stretch from base 253 to 407 matches the Rfam family "5.8S ribosomal RNA". The record is from RNAcentral. Lineage: Eukaryota; Fungi; Basidiomycota; Agaricomycetes; Gomphales; Gomphaceae.